This 465-nucleotide ribosomal RNA is filed under the name uncultured bacterium. RNAcentral's name for it is "partial 16S ribosomal RNA". It matches the Rfam family "Bacterial small subunit ribosomal RNA", at positions 338 to 795 of the family's 1533-position model. The record is from RNAcentral.
CCUACGGGAGGCUGCAGUAGGGAAUCUUCCACAAUGGACGAAAGUCUGAUGGAGCAACGCCGCGUGCGUGAAGACGGGUUUCGGCUCGUAAAGCUCUGUUGGUAGUGACGAAAGAUAGAGGUAGUAACUGGCCUUUCUUUUACGGUAAUUACUUAGAAAGUCACGGCUAACUCCGUGCCAGCAGCCGCGGUAAUACGUAGGUGGCAAGCGUUGUCCGGAUUUAUUGGGCGUAAAGCGAGUGCAGGCGGUUCAAUAAGUCUGAUGUGAAAGCCUUCGGCUCAACCGGAGCAUUGCAUCCGAAACUGGUGAACUUGAGUGCAGAAGAGGAGAGGGGAACUCAAGGUGUAGCGGGGGAAGGCGUAGAUAUAUGGAAGAACACCAGUGGCGAAGGCGGCUCUCUGGUCUGCAACUGACGCUGAGGCUCGAAAGCAUGGGUAGCGAACAGGAUUAGAUACCCCGGUAGUC